GUGGGGAAUAUUGGGCAAUGGGCGCAAGCCUGACCCAGCAACGCCGCGUGAGGGAAGAAGGUUUUCGGAUUGUAAACCUCUGUCGCAAGGGACGAAACAAAUGACGGUACCUUGUGAGGAAGCCCCGGCUAACUACGUGCCAGCAGCCGCGGUAAUACGUAGGGGGCGAGCGUUGUCCGGAAUUACUGGGCGUAAAGGGUGCGUAGGCGGUUGCCUAAGUUGGAUGUGAAAUACCCGGGCUUAACUUGGGGGGUGCAUUCAAAACUGGGUGACUAGAGUUCAGGAGAGGGAAGCGGAAUUCCUAGUGUAGCGGUGAAAUGCGUAGAUAUUAGGAGGAACACCAGUGGCGAAGGCGGCUUUCUGGACUGACACUGACGCUGAGGCACGAAAGCGUGGGGAGCAAACAGGAUUAGAAACCCCGGUAGUCC
RNAcentral lists this ribosomal RNA (428 nucleotides) under uncultured bacterium. RNAcentral's name for it is "partial 16S ribosomal RNA". It matches the Rfam family "Bacterial small subunit ribosomal RNA", at positions 354 to 796 of the family's 1533-position model. The record is from RNAcentral.